AUGAACGCUGGCGGCGUGCUUAACACAUGCCAGUCGAACGAAGCACUUUAUUUGAUUUCCUUCGGGACUGAUUAUUUUGUGACUGAGUGGCGGACGGGUGAGUAACGCGUGGGUAACCUGCCUUGUACAGGGGGAUAACAGUUGGAAACGGCUGCUAAUACCGCAUAAGCGCACAGCAUCGCAUGAUGCAGUGUGAAAAACUCCGGUGGUAUAAGAUGGACCCGCGUUGGAUUAGCUAGUUGGUGAGGUAACGGCCCACCAAGGCGACGAUCCAUAGCCGACCUGAGAGGGUGACCGGCCACAUUGGGACUGAGACACGGCCCAAACUCCUACGGGAGGCAGCAGUGGGGAAUAUUGCACAAUGGGCGAAAGCCUGAUGCAGCGACGCCGCGUGAGCGAAGAAGUAUUUCGGUAUGUAAAGCUCUAUCAGCAGGGAAGAUAAUGACGGUACCUGACGAAGAAGCACCGGCUAAAUACGUG
Molecule: ribosomal RNA, 480 nt
Filed under: uncultured bacterium
Lineage: Bacteria
Description: partial 16S ribosomal RNA
Rfam family: Bacterial small subunit ribosomal RNA
Source: RNAcentral